ACUUUCUUAGUACAGCAGUAUAGAUGGCUUCCAACCAUCAGACCUAGAAUAAUACUCUAGAGAAAGUA
RNAcentral lists this transfer RNA (68 nucleotides) under Hemisus marmoratus (mottled shovel-nosed frog). Its description in RNAcentral is "tRNA-Gly". Lineage: Eukaryota; Metazoa; Chordata; Amphibia; Anura; Hemisotidae. The record is from RNAcentral.